UGUGACUGGAGUUUUUCUUUGUCAGAGAUAAGCAGUUGCUUGACAUCAUCCAUUUCUUUCAUAGAAGAAUGAAGCUGCAUGAAUAUAUCCUCUUUCUCUGCAGUAGCUUCAUCAAGUGCUUCUUGGAACUUGCUCAUUUUUGUCUCAUAUGUUGCAAGGUCCUCAGUGAGACUUAGGUUAUCUCUCGAUAAAUCUUCAUUCUCAGUUUUAAAUUGAGCCAACCUGCAAUACAGUUGCUCAACAAGCCCUUCAUAUUCUUGUAAUUUAAAAUGUGCCUCUUCCAGGUUGCUCUUCUGAGUUGCUGCAACAAUAGCCAACUCACUAGCCUGUUCUUCGUAAUUUUUUAACUGAUAUUCAAGUGCAAACAGCUUCUCAUUCAAGUCUCUGUCUUCUAAAUCUCGCUGCUUGUGUUUCUCAAUAGCUUCAUGCAGCUGGGCCUCAUUUUCUUUGAGGCAAACUUCAGUUGCAAACAAGAGCUCCAGGCCUUGUGAAUGUUCAUCAGUCAACUUCGCUAUGAUGCUUGCAUGAGAGGCAAGUUGCUCAUUAACAGCCUCCUUCUCUGCAUGGAUAGAUUUCAACACCUCAUUAAGCUCAUUGACUUUAUGCUGAUGAGCUUCCAACUCUUCCCUGAGCUCUAAGUUUGAUGUAGCCAACAACUCAUUUUCAGAAAGUGUUUGUUCGCCUUUCAGAUUAGCUUCUGAGACCUUUUGCUUAAGCUCCUGAAUGUUGUUUUCAAGAGAAACAAGUGUUAAUGCAUUUGCUCCCAAUUCUGCUUCAAGUAAGGUGACAGUUUGAGUAGCUUCAACUAACUGUUCUUUGUAAAAUGUUGAUUGUUCCUCGAGAGAUUUUAACUUCUCAAGCAACUCCUUAGUUUCAGACUCCUUUUGCAAGAUGCUUGCAGCUACUUGCUCAAGUUUUAAUUCCGUAUCCUUGAUUAAAGAUUCAUUUAAUGAAUUUAACUCCAAGUUUCUUGCAGUAAGUUCCUCCACGGCCUUUCUGUGAUGUCCCAACUGCUCUUCAGCGUAUCUAAGCUUUUGCUCCAGUUCAGAUUGCAUAAGAGAUUUCUCAGACAACUCUGCUUUAAGACUUUCUGCUAGAGAAUCAAGAGAGAAUUCCCUUGCUUUCUGUUCACUUAGUUUUUCUUCCAAUUUGGAUACAGUAGCUUCGAGUUCCUUCCUUGAAUUUUGGUGCAUUUUGUUGCAUUUUUUGUUCUCUUCCAUGACGGAGGUUAUCUGUCAUAUUACAUCUUAGAUAAGAAAUUCCUUUUCCCAAAAUAAUUUGUUCAAAUGUGAAUCACAGAGAAUCAUGUAAAACGUUGAAAUUUAUCGGCAUCAUAGAAUUUUAAGGAACAAUAUUACAAGUGUAAGAUAGGCAUGGUAUAUUUACUAACCUGCGACUGAAGUUUCUCUUUAUCAGAGAUAUGCAGUUGCAUGAGAUCUUCCAUGUUUUUCUGAGAAGAAUGAAGCUGCAUGAAUAUAUCCUCUUUCUCUGUGACAGUUGCAUCAAGUGCUAGUUGCAACCCGUUCAUUCUUGUCUUAUUUGUUGCAAUCUCCUCAGUGAGACUGAGAUUAUCUCUUGAUAAAUCUUCAUUCUCAGUUUUGAAUUGAUCUGACAUGCUUUUCAAUUGCUCUACAAGCCCUUCCAGUUCCUGUAAUUUGGAAUGUGCCUCUUCCAGUUUUCCCUUCUGACUUGCCAAUUGUUCUUCGGCAGAUUUUAACUUCUCAAGCAAUUCUUCAGCUUCAGACUCCUUUUGCAUGAUGGUUGCGUCUGCUUGCCUAAGUUGCUCCAAGUUUCUUGUCGUAAGUUUCUCCAAAGCAUUUCUGUGAUGUUCCAACUGUUCUCCAGCAUAUCUAAGAUUUUGCUCCAGUUCUGAUUGCAUAAGAGAUUUCCCAGACAACUCUGCUUUAAGACUUUCUACAAGAGAAACAAGAGAGGAUUCCCUUGUCUUCUGUUCACUUAGUUGUUCUUGGAAUUGGGCUAAAGUAGCUUCCAGUUCUUUCCUAGCGUUAUGGUACAUCUCAUUGCACAUGUUGUUCUCUACCAGUACAGAAGUUAUCUGCAAUAUUACUUCUGCUUUAGAUAACAAGUUUGUUUUCACAAGGCAAUUUGUUAUGUCAAAUCUGAAAUACAAGUAAUCAUGCUUCUAUCUUGUAAAUUAUCGACAUUUAGAAUUUUAUGGACUUCUGUUAAAUGCAUAAGAUAGAGAUCAAGGAUUUUAAUUUCGGAUAUUGCAUUGUACCAGUCUUUGACCAGACUGGUACAGGUUCAAGCUACAUGCCGGUACAUAUCAAGUUUUGUAAAGAAAGUCUGAAAAAAGACUGAAAACAAAAGAAAAAAGUUAUUGCCCAGUACAAGUCCUACAACAUGCAGGCCCAAAAUUGAGCAGUAUAAGGCCGUAGCAGGCAGUAUGCCUUAUGCCAGGCUUGAAUCGCCUGGUUUAGCCUAGUACACGUGUUUAUUGGACCGAUAAUUACCCUUGUACCAAACCAUACCAGACAAUAUUGGAAACGUUGAUAGAGAUUGUGUAUUUACAAACCUGUGACUGGAGUUUCUCUUUAUCAGAGCUAUGUAAUUGCAUGAGCUCCUCCAUUUCUUUCUUGGAAGAACAAAGCUGCAUGAAUAUAUCCUCUUUCUGUGUAACAGCUGCAUCAAGUGCUACUUGCAACUCAUUCAUAUUCAUCGCAUACAUUGCAAGGUUCUCAGAGAGACUUAGGUUAUCUCUUAAUAAAUCUUCAUUCUUAAUUUUGAAUUGAUCCAACUGGCUUUUUAGUUGCUCUACAAGCCCUUCCAGUUCUUGUAAUUUGAAAUGUGCCUCUUCUAGUUUACCCUUUUGAGUUGCUGCUACAACAGCUGACUCACUAGCCUGUUCUUCAUAAGCUCUCAACUGAGUUUCAAGUGCAAGCAGCUUCUCAUACAGGUCCCUGGCUUCUAGAUCUCUCUGCUUGUGUUUCUCAAUAACUUCAUGCAGCUGGGCUUCAUUUUCUUUAAGGCUACAUUCAGUUGCUAACUGAAGCUCCAAGUCUCUUGAAUGUUCAUCACUCAUUUGUGCUAUAGUGCUUGCAUGAGAGGCGAGUUGCUCCACAGCAAACUCCUUCUCUGCAUGGAUGAAUUCCAGAAACUCCUUAAGCUCAUUAAGUUUGUUCUGAUGAGAUUCCAACUCCUCCCUGAGCUUUGAGUUUGAUGUUGCCAAUAAUUCAUUUUCAGCAAAUGUCUGUUCACCUUUCAGAUUAGCUUCAGAGACCUUUUGUUUAAGCUCCUCAACAAUGUUUUCAAGAGAAAUCAGUUUCAUCACAUUCACCCCCAACUCUGCCUUAAGUGAGGCUACAUUUUCAGUAGCUUUGACUGCCUGUUCUCUAUAAAAUGCUGAUUGUUCUUCAACAGAUCUUAACUUCUCAAGCAAUUCGUUAGCUUCAGACUCCUUCUGUAUGAUGCAUGCAUCUGCUUGCUCAAGUUUUAAUUCAGAAUCCUUAAAUAAAGAUUCAUUUAAUGAAUUUAACUCCAAGUUUCUUGUCAUAAGUUCCUCCACAGCCUUUUUGUAAUGUUCCAACUGUUCUCCAGCAUAUCUAAACUUUUGUUCCAGUUCUGAUUGCAUCAGAAAUUUUGUAGACAACUCUGAUUUAAGAAUUUCAACAAGAGAAUCAAGAGAGCUUUCCCUUUCCAUCUGUUCGCUUAUUUUUUCUUCCAAUUGGGCUAUGGUUUCUUUGAGUUCUUUCCUUGCAUUUUGGUGCAUUUCAUUGUGCAAGUUGUUCUCUUCCAUGACAGAGGUUAUCUGCAGUAUUACUUCUGUUUUAGAUAAAGAAAUUCCUUUCCUAAAACAUUUUGUUAUACAAAUGGAAAAUACAAGAAAUCAUGUGCCUAUUUUGUAAUUUAUGGGCGUCACAGAAUUUAAAGGAUCCAUGUUACAUGUAGAAGAUGUAGAUUGUAAUUUACUAACCUGUGACUGGAGUUUCUCUUUAUCAGAGAGAAGAAGUUGCAUGUGAUCCUCCAUUUCUUUCUUUGAAGAAUGAAGCUGAACGAAUAUAUCCUCUUUGUCAGUAACAGCUGCUUCAUGUGCUACUUUUAACUCAUUUAUUUUUGUCUUAUAUGUUGCAAGCUCCUCAGUGAGACUCAGGUUAUCCCUUGAUAAAAAAUCAUUCUCAGUUUUGAAUUGAUCCAACUUGCUUUCCAGUUGCUGAACAAGCUCUUCCAGUUCCUGUAAUUUGAAAUGUGCCUCUUCCAGUUUGCCCUUGUGAGUUGUUGCAAUGACAGCUGACUCAAUGGCCUGUUCUUCAUAAGCAUUUAACUGAGACUCAAGUGCAAGAAGCUUCUCGGAUAGGUCUCUAGCUUCAAAAUCUAUUUGCUUGUGUUUGUCAAUAGCUUCAUGCAGCUGGGCUUCAUUUUCUUUAAGGCGAUAUUCAGUUGCUAACUGGAGCUCCAAGCCUCUUGAAUGUUCAUCAGUCAAUUGUGCUAUAGUGUUUGCAUGAGAAACGAGUUGCUCGACAGAAGCCUCCUUUUCUGCUUGGAUGAAUUUCAAUAACUCCUCAAGCUCAUUAACUUUGUGCUGAUGAGAUUUCAACUCCUCCAUGAGCAUUGAGUUUGACCUUACCAACAAUUCAUUUUCAGCACGUGUCUGUUCACCUUUCAGAUUAGCUUCUGAGACCUUUUGCUUAAGCUCCUCAACAUUAGUUUCAAGUGAAACCAAUGCCAUCGCAUUUGCCCCCAACUCCGCUUCUAGUGAGGCUACAUUUUCAGUAGCUUGAACUGCCUGUUCUUUAUAAAAUGCUGAUUGUUCUUCAAGAGAUUUUAACUUGUUAAGCAAUUCUUUAGCUUCAGACUCCUUUUGCAUGAUGCUUUUGGCUGCCUGCUCAAGUUUCAACUCAGAAUUCUUUAACAAAGAUUCAUUCAAUGAAUUUAACUCCAAAUUUCUUGUUGUUAGUUCAUCCACAGCCUCUUUGUGAUGUUCCAACUGUUCUCCGGCAUAUCUAAGCUUUUGCUCCAAUUCUGAUUGCAUAAGAGAUUUCUCAGACAAAUCUGAUUUAAGACUUUCCACAAGGGAAUCAAGAGUGAAUUCCCUUGCCUUCUGUUCGCUUAGAUUUUGUGUCAAUUGGACUAUAGUUUCUUCCAGUUCUUUCCUUGCAUCAUUAUGCAUCUCGUUGCGCAUGUUGCUUUCUGCCAUGAUAGAGGUUAUCUGCAACAUUACUUCUGUUUUAGAUAACAAAUUCCUUUACCCAAAAUAAUUUGCUAUACAAAUGUGAAAUACAAAAGGUCAUGCUCCUAUUUCUCAAUUUAUUGGCAUCCUAGAAUUUGAAGGACCCAUCUUACAUGUAGAAAAAUGAAUAUUAUUAAUGACUAACCUGUAACUGGAGUUUCUCUUUAUCAGAGAUGAGCAGUUGCAUGAGAUCCUCCAUUUCUUUCUUUGAAGAAUGAAGCUGAAGGAAUAUAUUCUCUUUCGCUGCGACGGAUGCUUCAAGUGCCACUUGCAACUCAUUCAUUUUUGUCUUUAAUGUUGCAAGCUCCACGGUGAGACUCAGGUUUUCUCGUGAUAAAUCUUCAUUCUCAGUCUUGAAUUGAUCCAAUGUGCUUUUCAGUUGCUGAACAAGCCCUUCAUGUUCCUGUAAUUUGAAAUGUGCCUCUUCAAGUUCGCUCUUCUGAGUGGCUUCGAAAAUAGCUGACUCACUAGCCUGUUCUUCAUAAGAUUUUAACUGAGAUUCAAGUGCAAGCUGCUUUUCGUACAGGUCUCUGGCUUCCAAAUCUCGCUGCUUUUGUUUCUCAAUAGCUUCACGUAGCUGGGCUUCAUUUUCUUUGAGGCGAAAUUCAGUUGCAAACUGGAGCUCCAAGCCUCGUGAAUGUUCUUCAGUCAACUUCGCUAUGGUGCUGGCAUGAGAGGCCAGUUGCUCGACAGCAGCCUCCUUCUCUGUAUGGAUGGAUUUCAACACCUCAUUAAGCUCACUGACUUUUUGCUGAUGAGCUUCCAACUCCUCCCUAAGCUUUGAGUUUGAUGUAGCCAACAAUUCAUUUUCCGCAAGUGUCUGUUCAUGUUUCAGAUUAGCUUCUGAGAUGUGUUGCUUAAGCUCCUCAACUUUGUUUUCAAGAGAAACCAAUGUCUUGGCAUUCACUCCCAACUCCGCCUUAAGUGAGGCGACAGUUUCAGUAGCUUCAAUUGCCUGUUCUUUAUAAAAUGACGACUGCUCUUCAAGAGAUUUUAGCUUCUCAAGCAAUUCCUUAACUUCAGACUCCUUUUGCAAGAUGUUUGCAGCUGAUAGCUCAAGUUUCAAUUCUGAAUCCUUGAUUAAAGAUUCAUUUAAUGAACUUAACUCCAUGUUUCUUGCUGCAAGUUCCUCCACAGCUUGUCUGUGAUGUUCCAACUGUUCUUCAGCAUGUCUAAGCUUUUGUUCCAGAUCAGACUGCAUAAGAGAUUUAUCAGAUAACUCUACGUUAAGACUUUCCACGAGAGAAUAAAAAGAAAAUUCCCUUGCCUUCUGUUCGCUUAGUUUUUCUUCCAAUUGGGCUAUAGUAGCUUCGAGUUCUUUCCUUGCAUUUUGGUGCAUUUUGUCAUGCAUAUUGUUCUCUUCCAUGACAAAAUUUAUCUGCAAUAUUAUUUCUAUUUUAGAUAACAAUUCCAAUUCCCAAAAUAAUUUGUUUAAUUUGUUCUACAUAUGUGAAAUGCUGAGAAUUGUGCUCCUACCUUGCAAUUUAUUGGCAAUUUUAAGAUUCCAAGUAACACAAUUAAGACAGAGCUUCAGUAUUUACUUACCUGUAACUGGAGUUUCUCUUUAUCAGACAUGUGUGAUUGCAUGAUAUCUUCCAAUUCUUUAUUGGAAGAAUGAAGCCGCAUAAUUAUAUCCUCUUUCUCUAUUAUAGCUGUAUCAAACUCUACUUGUAACUCAUUCAAUUUUGUCUCAUACGUUGCAAGCUUCUCACUAAGACUAACGUUAUCCCUUGAUAAAUCUUCAUUCUCAGUUUUAAAUUGAGCCAACCUGCUAUACAGGUGCUCAACAAGGCCUUCAUGUUCCUGUAGUUUGCAAUGUGCCUCAUCCAGUUUACUCUUUUGAGUUGCUGCAACAAUAGCUGACUCACUAGCCUGUUCUUCAUAACUUUUCAACUGAGAUUCAAGUGCAAGCAGCUUCUCAUACAGGUCUUUGGCUUCAAAAUCUCGCUGCUUGUGUUUCUCAAUAGCCUCAUGCAGUUGGGUUUCAUUCUCCUUGAGGCGAAAUUCAGUUGCAAACUGGAGUUCCAAGCCGCGUGAAUGUUCUUCAGUCAACUUUGCUAUGGUGGUGGCAUGAGAGGUUAGUUGCUCAACAGCAGCCUCCUUCUCUGUAUGGAUGGAUUUCAAGAACUCAUUAAGCUCAAUGACUUUUUGCUGAUGAGCUUCCAACUCUUCCCUAUGAUUUGAGUUUGAUGUAGCCAACAAUUCAUUUUCUGCAAGUGUCUGUUCAUGUUUCAGAUUAGCUUCUGAGAUCUGUUGCUUAAGCUCCUCAUAAUUGUUUUCAAGAGAAACCAGUGUCUUUGCAUUCGCUCCCAACUCUGCCUUAAGUGAGUUGACAUUUUCAUUAGCUUCAAUUGCCUGUUCUUUAUAAAAUGACGACUGCUCUUCAAGAGAUUUGAUCUUCUCAAGCAAUUCCUUCACUUCAAAGUCCUUUUGCAAGAUGUUUGCAGCUGCUUGCUCAAGUUUCAACUCUGAAUCCUUGAUUAAAGAUUCAUUUAAUGAAUUUAACUCUGAAUUUCUUGCUGUCAGUUCCUCCACAGCAUUUCUGUGAUGUUCCAACUGUUCUCCAGCAUGUAUAAGCUUUUUCUCCAUAUCAGACUGCAUAAGAGACUUCUCAGACAACUCUGCUUUAAGACUUUCCACAAGAGAAUCGAAAGAAAAUUCCCUUGCCUUCUGUUCACUCAGUUUUUCUUCCAAUUGGGCUAUAGCAGCUUCGAGUUCUUUCCUUGCAUUGUGGUGCAUUCCUUUGUGCAUGUUGUUCUCUUCCAUGACAGAGGUUAUCUGCAACAUUAUUUCUAUUUUAGAUAACAAAUUCCAUUUCCUAAAUAAUUUGUUUAAAUUGUAUGUGAAAUGCAGGGAAUCAUGGUCCUGCCUUGCAAUUUUUAGGCAUCAUAGAAUUUGAAGUUCCAAGUUACAAGAUUAAGAUAGAGAUUCUGUAUUUACUUACCUGUAACUGGAGUUUCUCUUUAUCAGACAUAUGUAAUUGCAUCAUAUCCUCCAAUUGUUUUGUAGAAGAAUGAAGCUGCAUGAGUGUAUCCUCUUUCUCUGCAGUAGCUUCAUGGAGUGCAGCUUGUAACAGGUUCAUUUUUGUCUCAUAUGUUGCAAGCUCCUCGGUUAGACUCAGGUUAUCUCUUGAUAAAUCUUCGUUCUCAGUUUUGAAUUGAGCCAAACUGCUUUGCAAUUGCUCAAUAAGCCCUUCAUGUUCCUGUAGUUUGAAAUGUGCCUCUUCCAGUUUGCUCUUCUGAGUGGCUGUGAGAAUAUCUGACUCACUAG
Molecule: long non-coding RNA, 8458 nt
Filed under: Musa acuminata (dwarf banana)
Lineage: Eukaryota; Viridiplantae; Streptophyta; Magnoliopsida; Zingiberales; Musaceae
Description: long non-coding RNA (MACU_LNC003267)
Source: RNAcentral